GACGAACGCUGGCGGCGUGCUUAACACAUGCAAGUCGAGCGGUAAGGCCCUUCGGGGUACACGAGCGGCGAACGGGUGAGUAACACGUGGGUGACCUGCCCUUAGCUCUGGGAUAAGCCUGGGAAACUGGGUCUAAUACCGGAUAUGACCUCAUGACGCAUGUUGUGGGGUGGAAAGCCUUGUGCGGCUAGGGAUGGGCCCGCGGCCUAUCAGCUUGUUGGUGGGGUGAUGGCCACCAAGGCGACGACGGGUAGCCGGCCUGAGAGGGCGACCGGCCACACUGGGACUGAGACACGGCCCAGACUCCUACGGGAGGCAGCAGUGGGGAAUCUUGCGCAAUGGGCGAAAGCCUGACGCAGCGACGCCGCGUGAGGGAUGACGC
This 382-nucleotide ribosomal RNA is filed under the name uncultured bacterium. RNAcentral describes it as "bacterial SSU rRNA". It matches the Rfam family "Bacterial small subunit ribosomal RNA", at positions 28 to 414 of the family's 1533-position model. The record is from RNAcentral.